GAUGAACGCUGGCGGCGUGCCUAAUACAUGCAAGUCGAACGCUGAAGGAGGAGCUUGCUCUUCUGGAUGAGUUGCGAACGGGUGAGUAACGCGUAGGUAACCUGCCUGGUAGCGGGGGAUAACUAUUGGAAACGAUAGCUAAUACCGCAUGACAACAGUUAUUGCAUGAUAACUGUUUAAAAGGGGCAACUGCUCCACUACCAGAUGGACCUGCGUUGUAUUAGCUAGUUGGUGAGGUAACGGCUCACCAAGGCGACGAUACAUAGCCGACCUGAGAGGGUGAUCGGCCACACUGGGACUGAGACACGGCCCAGACUCCUACGGGGGGCAGCAGUAGGGAAUCUUCGGCAAUGGACGGAAGUCUGAACGAGCAACGCCGCGUGAGUGAAGAAGGUUUUCGGAUCGUAAAGCUCUGUUGUAAGAGAAGAACGAGGGUGAGAGUGGAAAGUUCACACUGUGACGGUAUCUUACCAGAAAGGGACGGCUAACUACGUG
This 495-nucleotide ribosomal RNA is filed under the name uncultured bacterium. RNAcentral's name for it is "partial 16S ribosomal RNA". It matches the Rfam family "Bacterial small subunit ribosomal RNA", at positions 28 to 507 of the family's 1533-position model. The record is from RNAcentral.